AUUCCAGCUCCAAUAGCGUAUAUUAAAGUUGUUGCGGUUAAAAAGCUCGUAGUUGGAUUUCUGUUGAGGACGACCGGUCCGCCCUCUGGGUGAGUAUCUGGCUCGGCCUUGGCAUCUUCUUGGAGAACGUAACUGCACUUGACUGUGUGGUGCGGUAUCCAGGACUUUUACUUUGAGGAAAUUAGAGUGUUUCAAGCAGGCGUACGCCUUGAAUACAUUAGCAUGGAAUAAUGAGAUAGGACCUUGGUUCUAUUUUGUUGGUUUCUAGAGCUGAGGUAAUGAUUAAUAGGGAUAGUUGGGGGCAUUCGUAUUUAAUUGUCAGAGGUGAAAUUCUUGGAUUUAUUAAAGACGGACUACUGCGAAAGCAUUUGCCAAGGAUGUUUUCAUUA
RNAcentral lists this ribosomal RNA (389 nucleotides) under Gyrodinium sp. Its description in RNAcentral is "partial small subunit ribosomal RNA". It matches the Rfam family "Eukaryotic small subunit ribosomal RNA", at positions 582 to 975 of the family's 1831-position model. The record is from RNAcentral. Lineage: Eukaryota; Dinophyceae; Gymnodiniales; Gymnodiniaceae.